GACAAACAGUAUUGGCAGUAUCAUAACCAAUGAAGUUAAUCUGAGGUGUGAUUAUUGCUUGUUGAAAACUUUUCCCAAUUACUUGUUUCUGUAUUUAGGCAUGAUCUUAUGAGGU
This 115-nucleotide small nuclear RNA is filed under the name Gopherus agassizii (Agassiz's desert tortoise). RNAcentral describes it as "U4 spliceosomal RNA (ENSGAGG00000008958.1)". It matches the Rfam family "U4 spliceosomal RNA". Rfam says of the family: U4 small nuclear RNA (U4 snRNA) is a component of the major U2-dependent spliceosome. The record is from Rfam by way of RNAcentral. Lineage: Eukaryota; Metazoa; Chordata; Testudines; Testudinidae.